CAGUAGCCGCGGUAAUACGUAGGUCCCGAGCGUUGUCCGGAUUUAUUGGGCGUAAAGCGAGCGCAGGCGGUUAGAUAAGUCUGAAGUUAAAGGCUGUGGCUUAACCAUAGUACGCCUUGGAAACUGUUUAACUUGAGUGCAAGAGGGGAGAGUGGAAUUCCAUGUGUAGCGGUGAAAUGCGUAGAUAUAUGGAGGAACACCGGUGGCGAAAGCGGCUCUCUGGCUUGUAACUGACGCUGAGGCUCGAAAGCGUGGGGAGCAAACAGGAUUAGAUACCCGAGUAGUCCCUGUCUCUUAUACA
This 301-nucleotide ribosomal RNA is filed under the name uncultured bacterium. RNAcentral describes it as "partial 16S ribosomal RNA". It matches the Rfam family "Bacterial small subunit ribosomal RNA", at positions 509 to 808 of the family's 1533-position model. The record is from RNAcentral.